AGUGAACGCUGGCGGUAGGCCUAACACAUGCAAGUCGAACGGCAGCACAGUAAGAGCUUGCUCUUACGGGUGGCGAGUGGCGGACGGGUGAGGAAUACAUCGGAAUCUACUUUUUCGUGGGGGAUAACGUAGGGAAACUUACGCUAAUACCGCAUACGACCUACGGGUGAAAGCAGGGGAUCUUCGGACCUUUCGCGAUUGAAUGAGCCGAUGUCGGAUUUGCUAGUUGGCGGGGUAAAGGCCCACCAAGGCGACGAUCCGUAGCUGGUCUGAGAGGAUGAUCAGCCACACUGGAACUGAGACACGGUCCAGACUCCUACGGGAGGCAGCAGUGGGGAAUAUUGGACAAUGGGCGCAAGCCUGAUACAGCCAUACCGCGUGGGUGAAGAAGGCCUUCGGGUUGUAAAGCCCUUUUGUUGGGAAAGAAAAGCAGCAGGUUAAUACCCCGCUGUUCUGACGGUACCCAAAGAAUAAGCACCGGCUAAUUUCGUG
Molecule: ribosomal RNA, 492 nt
Filed under: uncultured bacterium
Lineage: Bacteria
Description: partial 16S ribosomal RNA
Rfam family: Bacterial small subunit ribosomal RNA
Source: RNAcentral